RNAcentral lists this long non-coding RNA (629 nucleotides) under Nicotiana benthamiana. RNAcentral describes it as "long non-coding RNA (NBEN_LNC009556)". Lineage: Eukaryota; Viridiplantae; Streptophyta; Magnoliopsida; Solanales; Solanaceae. The record is from RNAcentral.
GACCAAGUGUAAGACCUGCCAUUAAACCAGCAAACAACACCAAUCCUAUCACUGCUAAAAUAUACAGAGAAAAUUUUGUUCCACAACACGCCACAUCAGCUGCCAUAUUUUACAGAUACUCUUUCCCAAAGUUCAAAGAAAGUCUUGAAAUUUGCUAAAGUUUUGAUUUUGUCUGCUUCUUUGUAAUUAAACCUCGAUUUGAUCAGACCCCAAAUCGUCUAUUACCUAACUUAGAAAAUAUUUAUACUUAUUUUUCUGGAGAUACUCUUUCCCAAGUUCAAAUAAAGUCUUGAAAUUUGCUAAAGGUUUGAUUUUUUUUCGAUUUUUGUAAAUAAACCUCGACUUUAUGUGUAUCUUUGUUGUGUGAGCUGUUUUUUCCCAUUCAAGAACUGUCUUUUUUCUCCCCCACCACCUCCCCACGUCCCUAUAUUUAUACUGGUCCCUUAAAAUAAUUUUUUCAAAUCAAGCUGUUGUGUUUGAUGAUAAUGCAAUAGGUCAUAAAUCAUAAGGAAGAGGAAUGGUAAAAAAAAAAUUGGCCUAGGUGCAUGUCCAAUGUGAUGGAAGCACUUAAUUCCAGAAUAUUACUUUACUAAUCAGUGAGUGACAUUGUUUCUUCCGAUGCUAAAAAG